Molecule: long non-coding RNA, 222 nt
Filed under: Musa acuminata (dwarf banana)
Lineage: Eukaryota; Viridiplantae; Streptophyta; Magnoliopsida; Zingiberales; Musaceae
Description: long non-coding RNA (MACU_LNC000641)
Source: RNAcentral
GAAAACCAUCAAAGAUAAAAAAUGGUUGAAAGAAACCUGAUUUACAAUUCUGCCAUAUUGAGCCGAAAUCCACAUCAUUCUCAUAGAGAUCUUUGAAUGUUUCAAAUCCAACCACUUUGACUUCUAUUGCUAAUAAUAAAGAAUACUUUCUGCUCAAUACAUCACUAACUACAUUUUGAACACCAGAUUUGUGCUUGAUUGUAAAGUUGUAAGAUUGUAAAA